This 147-nucleotide ribosomal RNA is filed under the name Fusarium sp. RNAcentral's name for it is "partial large subunit ribosomal RNA". Lineage: Eukaryota; Fungi; Ascomycota; Sordariomycetes; Hypocreales; Nectriaceae. The record is from RNAcentral.
GUCCAGGCCAGCAUCAGUUUUCCCCGGGGGAUAAAGGCGGCGGGAAUGUGGCUCUCUUCGGGGAGUGUUAUAGCCCACCGUGUAAUACCCUGGGGGGGACUGAGGUUCGCGCAUCUGCAAGGAUGCUGGCGUAAUGGUCAUCAACGA